AUUAAUGGCCAUACCACCCUGAACACGCCCGAUCUCAUUUGAUCUUGGAAGCUAAGCAGGGUCGGGCUGGGAUAGUACUGGCCGGGUGUGGUGGCUCAUGCCUAUAAUC
This 109-nucleotide ribosomal RNA is filed under the name Nomascus leucogenys (northern white-cheeked gibbon). The record is from RNAcentral. Lineage: Eukaryota; Metazoa; Chordata; Mammalia; Primates; Hylobatidae.